CCAGACUCCUACGGGAGGCAGCAGUGAGGAAUAUUGGUCAAUGGGCUUACGCCUGAACCAGCCAAGUCGCGUGAGGGAAGACUGUCCUAUGGAUUGUAAACCUCUUUUGUCAGGGAGCAAAGGGCGCCACGUGUGGCGUUUUGCGAGUACCUGAAGAAAAAGCAUCGGCUAACUCCGUGCCAGCAGCCGCGGUAAUACGGAGGAUGCGAGCGUUAUCCGGAUUUAUUGGGUUUAAAGGGUGCGCAGGCGGAAUGUCAAGUCAGCGGUAAAAUUUCGGGGCUCAACCCCGUCGUGCCGUUGAAACUGGCGUUCUUGAGUGAGCGAGAAGUAUGCGGAAUGCGUGGUGUAGCGGUGAAAUGCAUAGAUAUCACGCAGAACUCCGAUUGCGAAGGCAGCAUACCGGCUCCACACUGACGCUGAGGCACGAAAGCGUGGGUAUCGAACAGGAUUAGAUACCCCGGUAAAG
RNAcentral lists this ribosomal RNA (466 nucleotides) under uncultured bacterium. RNAcentral describes it as "bacterial SSU rRNA". It matches the Rfam family "Bacterial small subunit ribosomal RNA", at positions 331 to 793 of the family's 1533-position model. The record is from RNAcentral.